This 467-nucleotide ribosomal RNA is filed under the name uncultured bacterium. RNAcentral describes it as "partial 16S ribosomal RNA". It matches the Rfam family "Bacterial small subunit ribosomal RNA", at positions 28 to 506 of the family's 1533-position model. The record is from RNAcentral.
GACGAACGCUGGCGGCGUGCUUAACACAUGCAAGUCGAACGGAAAGGCCCUGCUUUUGUGGGGUGCUCGAGUGGCGAACGGGUGAGUAACACGUGAGUAACCUGCCCUUGACUUUGGGAUAACUUCAGGAAACUGGGGCUAAUACCGGAUAGGAGCUCCUGCCGCAUGGUGGGGGUUGGAAAGUUUCGGCGGUUGGGGAUGGACUCGCGGCUUAUCAGCUUGUUGGUGGGGUAGUGGCUUACCAAGGCUUUGACGGGUAGCCGGCCUGAGAGGGUGACCGGCCACAUUGGGACUGAGAUACGGCCCAGACUCCUACGGGAGGCAGCAGUGGGGAAUAUUGCACAAUGGGCGGAAGCCUGAUGCAGCAACGCCGCGUGCGGGAUGACGGCCUUCGGGUUGUAAACCGCUUUCGCCUGUGACGAAGCGUGAGUGACGGUAAUGGGUAAAGAAGCACCGGCUAACUACGU